This 147-nucleotide unclassified non-coding RNA is filed under the name soil metagenome. RNAcentral's name for it is "partial internal transcribed spacer 1". The record is from RNAcentral.
CCGAGUUUACAACACCCAAACCCCUGUGAACAUACCAAUUGUUGCCUCGGCGGAUCAGCCCGCUCCCGGUAAAACGGGACGGCCCGCCAGAGGACCCCUAAACUCUGUUUCUAUAUGUAACUUCUGAGUAAAACCAUAAAUAAAUCA